ACAGGUUCGGUUGCAGUGAAGGCCUACAUGCGAAGUUCAAGCCCUGCGGAUAAAAAUAUAAUGAACGCAUUUGUACAACAGACAUGUUCAAAUCUCUUCAACAAGUUUCAGACUGCAGACUUCACCCUGACCUAUGGAAAGGACAGGAUCUCAGUGCAUUGCUCUUCAGUCCUUUUUUCCAUCUCAUAGGAAUCAUAAAAGAGUAAACUUUCAUAAGAUUUUAUGGAAUAUUUCAUUAAUUGAACUAUAGGGUUUGGGUUUUCUGCUGCCAUGGGCUCAUGGUGUAUGCCGGGGAUACCUAUAGUUGGUUGAAAUAGAUAAUCCGGCCUUCUUUACAAUUAAAGAGUGGGCUACCAGUAAGGAGAAAUUGAGAUUUUCCUAGCUUGUGACGGAAAAUAUUAGUUAUAUGAAGACAGGAGGCGAGUAUCUUAUGCAUUAUCUUUCCUUUAAUAAUGCCCACAGCAGAAAUACAACUUUAGUGGAUUUUAGUAAUAAUAAAAGAAUUUU
Long non-coding RNA from Rana temporaria (common frog), 507 nucleotides. RefSeq lists it as uncharacterized. The transcript is spliced from 2 exons. NCBI's taxonomy places the organism in Eukaryota, Metazoa, Chordata, Amphibia, Anura, Ranidae. The record is from RefSeq and is a predicted model, not a curated record.